GGUGGCUCAGUGGUAGAGUGCUUGCCUUGUGAGCAUGAAGCCCUGGGUUCAAUCCUCAGCACCA
Molecule: transfer RNA, 64 nt
Filed under: Dipodomys ordii (Ord's kangaroo rat)
Lineage: Eukaryota; Metazoa; Chordata; Mammalia; Rodentia; Heteromyidae
Rfam family: tRNA
About the family: Transfer RNA (tRNA) molecules are approximately 80 nucleotides in length.
Source: Rfam by way of RNAcentral